CUGUAUUCCCGGCUGCUAUAGAGCCGGGUUAGAGAGCGAGCGCCCGUCCGCGGGCGUCGAGGGCGGGUUGCCUCGCGCUGACCCUUCCCGCCCUCGUUACACACCAGGUCCCCGCGGAAGCGGCGGUGUCGGCGCCAUGGCGGAGCUGACGGCUCUUGAGAGUCUCAUCGAGAUGGGCUUCCCCAGGGGACGCGCGUAAGGGAGUUCCCCAACCCCGGCCUGCGGGGGUGGGGGGGCCGCGGACCUGUCUCGGCCUUUGCCCCAGCCUGACCGUCACCAUGGCUCGUGGGCGCUAUUCAUGGUGUUUCUGCCCCCAGGGAGAAGGCUCUGGCCCUCACAGGGAACCAGGGCAUCGAGGCUGCGAUGGACUGGCUGAUGGAGCACGAAGACGACCCAGAUGUGGACGAGCCUCUAGAGACUCCCCUUGGACAUAUCCUGGGACGGGAGCCCACUUCCUCAGAGCAAGGCGGCCUUGAAGGAUCUGGUUCUGCUGCCGGAGAAGGCAAACCCGUUUUGAGUGAAGAGGAAAGACAGGAACAGACUAAGAGGAUGUUGGAGCUGGUGGCCCAGAAGCAGCGGGAGCGUGAAGAGAGAGAGGAACGGGAGGCAUUGGAACGGGAACGGCAGCGCAGGAGACAAGGGCAAGAGUUGUCAGCAGCACGACAGCGGCUACAGGAAGAUGAGAUGCGCCGGGCUGCUGAGGAGAGGCGGAGGGAAAAGGCCGAGGAGUUAGCAGCCAGACAAAGAGUUAGAGAAAAGAUCGAGAGGGACAAAGCAGAGAGAGCCAAGAAGGUAGGUGACUGAGAAGACGCCACGGGUAAUGGAGCGGGCAGGUUAGUAAAUCUGUUCCAGCUUCAGAGGCAAAGCAUGGGCUUAUAUGAUGUUUCACUUGAGGAUGGGUGAGUACCUGAUUGAGUGUUUUACUUUGCCCUUUAGUAUGGUGGCAGUGUGGGCUCUCAGCCACCCCCACCGGCACCAGAGCCAGGUCCUGUUCCCUCUUCUCCCAGCCAGGAGCCUCCCAACAAGCGGGAGUAUGACCAGUGUCGCAUACAGGUCAGGCUGCCAGAUGGGACCUCAC
Molecule: small RNA, 1078 nt
Filed under: Pongo abelii (Sumatran orangutan)
Lineage: Eukaryota; Metazoa; Chordata; Mammalia; Primates; Hominidae
Description: retained intron
Source: RNAcentral